This is an RNA transcript of Brassica napus (rape), 2133 nucleotides long. It is a transcript of the gene named phosphoinositide phosphatase SAC2-like, with no coding region annotated. The transcript is spliced from 10 exons. Lineage: Eukaryota; Viridiplantae; Streptophyta; Magnoliopsida; Brassicales; Brassicaceae. The record is from RefSeq and is a predicted model, not a curated record.
GGCUUGCGUUUUUUUUAGCCCAAGUGUUGAAUCUGAAUGGCCACUAAGACAUUAAUCAAUCUAGAUCGAACGAAAGGGCAUGUGUUUCGAUCGGAGAGAGAGAGAGGGGAGUACGGUUCGAGUUCUUGGAUUAGUUGAGGAGUGUGUCGGUGGUAACUUUUUUUCCGAGGAGGUUUAUUAUCGUCGGCGUCUUGAUCUUCGCCGGAGAUACCUUCGACGUUAUCACUUCCAGAUCUGCUCUCAUGCUCCUCUUCACGGCUUCUCUUGUUCGUCGCACUCCCUUCGAAAUUAUUAUAGUUAUUAUUGUUCCUCAUGGACGCUUCUCCACGGUUCGUGAUGAGGAUCGGCAUGGAGGGAAACACGGCGGCGGAAGGAGGCUAGAUAGGUUGCGAAAGGUGGGAGCUUUAUUGGGUUAGAGCACCUCCUCAUCGACUAACAGGUUUGCGUGCUUAUUGUGUCGUGCCAACAUGUUUACACUUAUGGCCUUUAUAUUUUCGACGAGGGAAUAUAGAGAUUCAUACGUUGGUGAUGACCAACCACUGAACACCAUAGCCGACGAAACCCGGGUUGGCUAAGACUGGUGGUGUGGAAUCGGCCGGAAAAAGUCAGCUCUCCACCGGUAUAUCUCCCGUCGCCUUUUACUUCAACAACGUCUCAUCAGGUCAAGCCAAAUCAGAGCUCUGAUUUCGCUUGAUCCACUUCUGGGAAGCCAAAAACAUUGCAAAGGUGGAACCUUUAUUUGCUUUGAGAUGCUCCUCAUCGACGAUAGAUAAGCAGAUACCUCAUGGAGCAAAACGCUUGCGUUCUUCGUCGACAGGAAGGUCAUCAUCAUCAGUGUUCGGUAGAUCUAUAGCUCCGAAUGCAUCUCCGGUUUGGAUGCCACCUAAGGCAUCGUUGAAACCUCCACUUGAUUAUCCCUAUAAAGACAGAGAUAACAGAUACUAUGGUGAUGUACCGUUGGUUUGUUCGAGAAAUAAUUGGUAUCAGCGGGAAGCUUCAGCUGUUCGUGAUGAAAUGAGAUUGCAUCAGACUCAGCGGUGGAGAAUGGUAAUGACAGAAAGGAUCGGCAAAAGGAAGCCACCAUGCUUCAGACAGGAGUCUUGAGGACUAACUGCAUAGACUGUUUAGACCGCACCAAUGUUGCUCAGUACGCUUACGGUUUGGUAGCAAUUGGGCGUCAAUUUCAUGCUUUGGGAUUGACAGAGUCUACUACUAUUGAUCUAGAUAAUCCUCUGGCUGAAGAUUUGAUGGGAGUAUAUGAGACAAUGGGCGAUACUCAUGCGCUUCAGUAUGGAGGAUCCGCAGCACAUAACAAGAUAUUUUGUGAAAGGCGUGGUCAGUGGAAAGCGGCUACUCAGUCGCAAGAGUUAUUCAGAACAUUGCAACGUUACUACAGUAACGCUUAUAUGGAUGCUGAAAAGCAAGAUGCGAUUAACUUGUUCUUGGGAUACUUUCAGCCACAACUAGAUAAUCCAGCUCUAUGGGAAAUGGGUUCUGAUCAGCAUUACAAUGCAGCAAGAAGUCUUGCCAGUUCUGUACCUGAGAUCUCAAGGUCUACGAUGAAACGAUCUCUAUCAGAAAGUAGCAUCCUUAGUGAGGGCAGUAGUACAGUAGCUGGUAGACAUGGUUUAGGUGAGAAGGAUGAAGAAGUUAAAGGUCUUUCAGAUUCAGCACCUGGGAUCAUCUCAACUUCUAAAACAACUGCCAUGAUUGCUGGUAGUUUCAGUGCUCCACCAGCGACAUUGGAGGAUAUAGGUUUAGACGAGAUACUUGAAAACGAUUUGCUUCUGUUUUAAUGAUGAUAGGCGUGGUGGUGACCAGUGUACGUGUGCAGCUUUGAUAUGGAUUGGGUUUCUUCUUCAGGAGCCUCUUGUGAAGAUGUGAGUUACAGAAGAUCAACAGUGGUUAGGUCUUUUGAAACCUCCCUGAAAGUACAAAAAUAGAGUGAUUUGUGUCGUUAACGCAAAGGUGAGCAAAUAAAUUGACACAAAGCAGCCGUUUGUGUUUGGUUUGUGUUAAUAUCAAAUGCUGCUUUAAGUGAUAAUAUCUCACUAUAUUAGUGGCUAAAUCAUUAUUAGAGUUGUAAAAAUAUUAUUAAAUUGGUUGAAAGGACAUUAUAUUCGUUGGUGUUUC